RNAcentral lists this unclassified non-coding RNA (714 nucleotides) under Hevea brasiliensis (rubber tree). The record is from RNAcentral. Lineage: Eukaryota; Viridiplantae; Streptophyta; Magnoliopsida; Malpighiales; Euphorbiaceae.
ACAAGAUCUGGAGAAAGAAAGAAUGAAAAGGAAACAGAUCGAGGAAAUGUAAUCAGCUACUCUAGCAAAACAAAUUAUAACUAUUCUAGCAAUUAAAAGCCCGUAUGAGCUAUUUUAAUCUCACAACACAUGCUGAAAUGCUGCUCGAUAAGUAGUUGAGAUUUAAGACUGCAAUGUCUAUACUUUCUACUUUCAAAUCUACUAAUUCAUUCCUAUGAACUACACUUUCAAAUGACUGAGAUAAAGGCAUAUUCGUGAGUCCCAAAACUACAAAAUCAAGUUAACUAAAGCUGAAGCCCAUCAGUAACAGAUAGGAGGCUAGAUACGAAGAUGAAACAAUAAAACAUUCUUACCCUUCCAUUUCUGAUCCAAAUUACGUUCAAUCAACUUAAGUGUACAAUAAAAUAUGACCUAUAUUCCACUAGAAAUGGAGCCUAUCAACUUAGAUGUUGCAAUAAGCAUUCAAAAUGUCAUGGUCAGCUUUCAUUUAUAAAACCCCAAAAUGCAUUCCAAACAGUCAGAGAGAAGACUCUUAGAUAAUCAAAGACGAAAAAUAAAAGCAGCUACCAAAACGGAAACAAGAAAAAUCCCAAAAUUAUGAUUCCCAACAAAUCAUCAUUAAGCACUAAAAGGGACAAGUAAAAAUUCAAUAUAAAUCUAAAAAUCAAAUGGCAAGAAAUAGAAAGAAAAGAAGAAUGUAAAAAAUAAUAAUAA